RNAcentral lists this transfer RNA (55 nucleotides) under Strongyloides fuelleborni fuelleborni. Its description in RNAcentral is "tRNA-Tyr". Lineage: Eukaryota; Metazoa; Nematoda; Chromadorea; Rhabditida; Strongyloididae. The record is from RNAcentral.
AGGGGUUUAGUAUAUUUAGUACAAUGGUCUGUAAAACUGGAAGUUAAUGCCCUUG